UUGAAGAGUUUGAUUCUGGCUCAGGACGAACGUUGGCGGUGUGUCUAAGGCAUGCAAGUCGAACGAGAUUGUUUUCUUCGGAAAACUUUAUUUCUAAGUGGCAGACGGCUGAGUAACGCGUAAGUAACUUACCCUAGAGUGGGGAAUAACACAGAGAAAUCUGUGCUAAUACCGCAUACGAUUUAUAGAUAAUUUUUAUAAAUGAAAGAUUUAUCGCUCUUGGAUGGGCUUGCGUCCUAUCAGGUUGUUGGCGGGGUAAUAGCCCACCAAGCCUAAGACGGGUAGCUGGUGUGAGAGCACGACCAGCCAGAGGGGGACUGAGACACGGCCCCCACUCCUACGGGAGGCAGCAGCUAAGAAUAUUGCACAAUGGACGAAAGUCUGAUGCAGCGACACCGCGUGAGGGAUGACAGCCUUAGGGUUGUAAACCUCUUUUAUUAGGGAAUAGCAAGGAAGGUACCUAAUGAAUAAGCUACGGCUAACUACGUGCCAGCAGCCGCGGUAAUACGUAGGUAGCGAACGUUGUCCGGAAUCACUGGGCGUAAAGGGUCCGUAGGCGGUUUAACAAGUCUCAUAUGAAAGCUUCAAGCUUAACUUGGAGAUGUUGUGAGAUACUGUUAGACUUGAGGCUGUUAGAGGCAAGUGGAAUUCCAGGUGUAGUGGUGAAAUGCGUAGAUAUCUGGAGGAACACCAGUGGCGAAAGCGACUUGCUGGAACAGUUCUGACGCUAAGGGACGAAAGCGUGGGGAGCAAACCGGAUUAGAUACCCGGGUAGUCCACGCCGUAAACGAUGAUUGCUAGGUUUUCGAGGCAUCGACCCCUCGUGAGCCGAAGUUAACGCGUUAAGCA
RNAcentral lists this ribosomal RNA (849 nucleotides) under Chloroflexota bacterium. Its description in RNAcentral is "bacterial SSU rRNA". It matches the Rfam family "Bacterial small subunit ribosomal RNA", at positions 1 to 866 of the family's 1533-position model. Lineage: Bacteria; Bacillati; Chloroflexota. The record is from RNAcentral.